This 224-nucleotide ribosomal RNA is filed under the name uncultured bacterium. Its description in RNAcentral is "partial 16S ribosomal RNA". It matches the Rfam family "Bacterial small subunit ribosomal RNA", at positions 15 to 230 of the family's 1533-position model. The record is from RNAcentral.
GAUCCUGGCUCAGGAUGAACGCUAGUUACAGGCUUAACACAUGCAAGUCGAGGGGCAGCAUGGUCUUAGCUUGCUAAGGCCGAUGGCGACCGGCGCACGGGUGAGUAACACGUAUCCAACCUGCCGUCUACUCUUGGACAGCCUUCUGAAAGGAAGAUUAAUACAAGAUGGCAUCAUGAGUUCACAUGUUCACAUGAUUAAAGGUAUUCCGAUAGACGAUGGGG